This 56-nucleotide small nuclear RNA is filed under the name Spermophilus dauricus (Daurian ground squirrel). Lineage: Eukaryota; Metazoa; Chordata; Mammalia; Rodentia; Sciuridae. The record is from RNAcentral.
UAGCAUGGCCCCUGUGCAAGGAUGACACACAAAUUCGUGAAGCGUUCCACAUUUUU